UCGAGUCUAGAGGGAAAACAGACGAGGAGUCGCUGAGUCACAAUAUGACAUCAGAGCUGACAGGACAGGGGCAGUCACAGGGUGCUAUUGGAGGACAGGGCACCCGUAUCUUUCAUUUGGGUGCUGAGAAUAAUAUAAAAGAAAAAAAAAACCUGGAAUUCCAUGGAGACUAUCAGGGAACACUUCAAAGAAGACGCUGGCCCUUUUUGAGCUGUUCCCACUGCAGUGCUGCAUUAAAAAUCUGCUGACCACCUUCUGUCCCCCAUAUUUCCAAGGGCCAAGGGAACCCUGAGCAGCCAAGGCAGGGCCUGUUGGAGUAAGCCAUUCCCCAGGGCUUCUAGCUCUAGCAUUCCAACUCCACAGAACACCCAAGAAAGUAAGAGAAGUAGAGGAUAGAUCUCUCCUCGACGCAGCACCCACUCUGGCUCUUUCUACGAUUAAGGCUUUACUGAGAAAACAGGGACGUCUAGAUCUAAAUGCAAGAUUGGGGUCUUGGAAGCUACAGAGAAGACAAAGGAGCAGAAUUAGAGGAGUAAGGAAGUUCUUUGAAGAUUAUAUUCUGCCUAACUGCAAGGAGGUUAUGAAACCAACACAAAAUCACAGAAGAAGGAAACAAAAAGACUUUCUCAGAAUUGGAGCAUCUCUACUUGCACUUUCUCCUGGGAUGUAUGCUCCCAUCUUUGCCUGGCUCACUAGAACCAUAAGGGGAAUUUGGUUACCCCACUUUUGAGGAACUGUAGACCUCUCUAGAGAGGAUGUCAGAAGAGGUCUUUGCCUGGCAGGGCAGAUGCAUAGUUUAUGUUUUGGCAAGAGACUCCCCCACCUCUUGGCUUAACAGUAAAGUCAUUAGGUCUUGUGACUAGGUCUGAGUAUCUCACCUACUAGGUAGGAUGUCUAUGGUUGAGGUGAAAGG
Long non-coding RNA from Neofelis nebulosa (Clouded leopard), 913 nucleotides. RefSeq lists it as uncharacterized. The record is from RefSeq and is a predicted model, not a curated record. Lineage: Eukaryota; Metazoa; Chordata; Mammalia; Carnivora; Felidae. The transcript has 4 exons.